AAAAAAAAUAUGUUCCGUUCAUUCAGGUUGGCUUAUGCUCUAAUUUUGGAUAGGACUAGUUAGGAGAUAUUGGAAAUUUGGUUACUGUAAAUUACUAAAUUUAUAAUUGAGGUGACCAAUGAACACCUCUCGGUAUCCAUAUGAAGAUGUGUUAUCGUUACAGGGUAAUUUCACCAUUAAUGCUAUGUUUGGAAGUUUGGAGAUGUAAGAGAAACUGUUUUUAUAAAAUAAAGUAUGGAACUAAUAGGAAGUAAAUUUGGUUUGUUACCUUCUCUCUAUCUAGAUAUUUUAAUAAAGGCCGGGGUUAUGAAAAUAGACGAGAAAAGUAACACAUCUUUUCCGUGUUUUGCUAAGUGUAGGAGAAGAGAAUUUAAAAAAAAAAAAGUUU
RNAcentral lists this unclassified non-coding RNA (388 nucleotides) under Hevea brasiliensis (rubber tree). The record is from RNAcentral. Lineage: Eukaryota; Viridiplantae; Streptophyta; Magnoliopsida; Malpighiales; Euphorbiaceae.